GCCUAGUUCGUCUUUACUAUAAGAUGUUUCUCAAGCCUAAAACGGAGGCAGGCUGGUUCAUCACCAGAAACAUGGAAAAUAUUUUGACUAGAGAUAUUGGUUUGUGUCCUUGGUUUUAAAUCUUUCUUCUUUUGCACAGAGAAUUAAUGAGCAGAGCUGCCUGGAAGCUACUUGUGAUCAGAUACUUCCCUGAUCUUUGGAUGUGUUGUGCUGAAACCUGUCUAGUCACCAGGAUGGAGAGAUGAAGAGAUGAUGAUAAGUGAGAUAAAUCGUGACAGUUUCUGGACCACAUGAAAUAGCAAGAAGAAAUGACUCGGAUGUGAUCCAUGGUGGUGGCAGGGAAUCACCUAAGUGCAAGCCAGGUUCCAAGUGACCAGUGGGAAAGACCUGAAGUGUGGCCACACCUCUUCCUUGCAUACUCCAGCCCAGAGACAUGUGGCCUGGGCAGAGGCGCUGUCUCUGGUCCAGCCCGGGGAAGGCAGAAGAACACUUUCUUUCAGUUUCUGGAAAAGAUGCUCUGGCCUCUAAUUCUUCACCUACCUGAAGUAGGAUCAGAAGAGAUCAGGAAGGAGAGAGAAAGAGCGAGGGACUCAGUUCAGAAGCCAGCAUAAGCCUCCGGUCUUCUCUGCUUUCCGGUUGGGUUCUCUUCUGGAUGGGUGUGUGGCAGAGCGGCAGGUGUAAGGCCUGGCUCGGUCUCAGCAUCACUUUCUUCAAAGUUCUCUUGGAUUUUUUUUUUUUUUUUGGCCUUUACCCUCAGAAAAUUAAAAUGUUCUCAUUAAAUCACGAUGAUCCAUCCACCCUUCCAUCUAGCCACUUGUCUAAUUAAUCACCUGCCUAUCUAUCCAUCUGCCCAGCUAUUAAACAGUUACUUAGCACUUACCCACUCAGAAAAUCACUCACCGUAUCAGGUGUUGGAGGAGACUGAAGGAUGACUCAG
Molecule: long non-coding RNA, 937 nt
Filed under: Mus spicilegus (steppe mouse)
Lineage: Eukaryota; Metazoa; Chordata; Mammalia; Rodentia; Muridae
Description: lncRNA (ENSMSIG00000009864.1)
Source: RNAcentral